Molecule: ribosomal RNA, 356 nt
Filed under: uncultured bacterium
Lineage: Bacteria
Description: bacterial SSU rRNA
Rfam family: Bacterial small subunit ribosomal RNA
Source: RNAcentral
GGACCCGCACAAGUAGUGGAGCAUGUGGUUUAAUUCGAAGAUACGCGCAGAACCUUACCAACACUUGACAUGUUCGUCGCGACUCUAAGAGAUUAGAGUUUUCGGUUCGGCCGGACGAAACACAGGUGCUGCAUGGCUGUCGUCAGCUCGUGUCGUGAGAUGUUGGGUUAAGUCCCGCAACGAGCGCAACCCUCACUUUUAGUUGCCAUCAUUUAGUUGGGCACUCUGAAAGAACUGCCAGUGAUAAGCUGGAGGAAGGUGGGGAUGACGUCAAGUCCUCAUGGCCCUUACGUGUUGGGCUACACACGUGCUACAAUGGUCGGUACAAUGGGUCGCCACCCCAGCGAUGGGGCGCA